Molecule: ribosomal RNA, 30 nt
Filed under: Neogale vison (American mink)
Lineage: Eukaryota; Metazoa; Chordata; Mammalia; Carnivora; Mustelidae
Source: RNAcentral
AUGCCCGAUCUCAUCUGAUCUCGGAAAAUA